UGGCUCAAAUAGUAAAGAAUCUGCCUGCAAUGCAGAAGACCCAGGUUCAAUCCCUGG
Molecule: transfer RNA, 57 nt
Filed under: Ovis aries (sheep)
Lineage: Eukaryota; Metazoa; Chordata; Mammalia; Artiodactyla; Bovidae
Rfam family: tRNA
About the family: Transfer RNA (tRNA) molecules are approximately 80 nucleotides in length.
Source: Rfam by way of RNAcentral